UACGUAGGGUGCGAGCGUUGUCCGGAAUUAUUGGGCGUAAAGAGCUUGUAGGCGGUCUGUCGCGUCUGCUGUGAAAAUCCGGGGCUCAACCCGGACUUGCAGUGGGUACGGGCAGACUAGAGUGUGGUAGGGGAGACUGGAAUUCCUGGUGUAGCGGUGAAAUGCGCAGAUAUCAGGAGGAACACCGAUGGCGAAGGCAGGUCUCUGGGCCACUACUGACGCUGAGAAGCGAAAGCAUGGGGAGCGAACAGG
RNAcentral lists this ribosomal RNA (252 nucleotides) under uncultured bacterium. RNAcentral describes it as "partial 16S ribosomal RNA". It matches the Rfam family "Bacterial small subunit ribosomal RNA", at positions 524 to 776 of the family's 1533-position model. The record is from RNAcentral.